UUAAACUGCAAAUUGGAUUCAACGUUGAACAAUCUUUUUUCAAACCUACUUUCAACUUGGAAUAUUGAAUUAGAAAAUGCCUGACGAAUACGGAAAUGCUUGAAAGAUUUGGGAACAUCCAAAUACUGGAAACGGCGAAUACCUUGGGUACUGGGGUCCAAAUUGUGUGUAGCAGCAAUUAUGGAAGCAUCCUCUCGAGAAGGGAUUGUAUCCACCGUUGAAUUUCCCUGUGACUUGUUCAUUUGUGGUGCGUCCCCGCGAAACGAGAACCACGUGAAAACCUGUCAAUCCGAGUAUUGGAAUAAAUAGAAGUGUAACUACUCCCAUCAGUACCAUCCUGUAUGAUUGAAAUAGAAGGUCACAUCGACGAGGCAAGAGUGACAUAAAGUCGAGUUAAGGUAAACAGAGUCAAAGAUUAUUGAUAAGAUGCAAAGCAAUCGUUGGUUCAUAUGUGUAACAAAAAAGAACUGCUGCUCGUUGUUAAUCAUUACGUAAUAUGGUUAAGGAUACGCGACUGUCGUGUCGACCUCUCCCAGUUGUUGCUUGUGCUCGAGUACAAAGUACAAACAAAGUCCAAAGAUGCUGAGCAUGUGAAAGCUCAACGAGAGAAGAAAGAAAAAGAAGAAUCUGUAGUUUCUUCUGCCUAUACAAUUGUUCACCCAUGGGCAAUGGUGAUCGAACGUCUGAAACACGAAAUGAAAUUAUUAUACAUUUUGUAAAGACAAAAUAGGAAAGUAGUUCAUUUAAAAAAAAAACACCUUUUUUCGCGGAUAUUUUCAAAGUAUUAAAUCAGUCAAUUUAAAAUGAAAAUCUGUGUAACUUUACAAUUUUUGUUGCAUUUACAUUUCUCAUAAAUAUGUAUGUUUUUCAGCCAAGAAAUUUGUGUUGGAAUAUAUACAGAAUUUAACGUUAAUCGAAAAUUGUUUUUCUUGUAUGGAAAUAGCUUUACAAAAAAUUAUUAUUCUGGAAUAGUGACACAGAACUAACAGCGUUCAUGUCUAAAAUUUUCCAACAGAUGCCACACAUGGAAGAACGCAAAGAAAUUUAACAUUGUAGAAAAACUUGACAAUGCAACUGGCAAAAAUACAUGAAACUUUUAAAAAAAAUCUAUUACUAAAGAAUGUUAAUAAUAAUAUAAAUACAAAAGUGUAAGUUUUAAAUAGUAUUUUGGUAUAAAACUAUUAAAGAAUGCAUAAAAUUUUGGUCAAUCGUCAAUCGCUGGACAUUGUUACCAAGGUGAAAUCCAAGAUAAUGUAAAAUAUGAGAAAUUACCUCUAUGCAAUGAUCACAUACACUGCAGUGGGAACAACGUGGUGGCCUGUAGAAUUUACAGGUUACGCACCAUUUCAUGCGCACCGUUAUACCAUUUAUUUCUACAUUUUUAAAUAGCGGAGCUCUGAUGUCAUCUUCCCGAUCUUCAUCUGGAGGGGCUUCAAAAAGAAAAUUCAAUCCAGUCUAAUGAUUUCAAAAUAAGUUCGCUGAUUAAUUAUAAUAAAGCUUCUACGUUGCCUGCAUUGAUAGUGACUCGAAAUGACAAUAACAUACUGCGCUCUCUUUUUUUCCUAAAAGAUAUCUACUUUAGGACGCACCGAUGUUUUAACGCAUACCCAAAGAACAGUAACCUAAAAAUCUUGUUACUCUCUAUUUGUUAUCAACUCUAUAUCUAUGCUUCAAAAAUUUUAUCAGAUUUGAUGAUGUUUUGAAUUCAAAGACAUUUCAUACAUUGUAUUAAUGAUGUAUGUUUUGCAACAGUUGAACUUCAUAGAAGGAAAACUCAUUCUUUUGUACCCAAUACAAUAGGAAAUGUUAAUGUUAUAAAUAUGAUUGUUUAAAUUCGUAAGAAAAUGUUUGAUAUAAAAACCUUAACAGAAAAGAAAAUGAUGUGAAAGAGAACAUUUUGAUUCCUAAUACAAUGAUUUGUAUAUUGGCAUAUCAAAUAAAAUAUCUGUCAACUCCUUUGCAUUACUUUAA
RNAcentral lists this long non-coding RNA (1971 nucleotides) under Venturia canescens. RNAcentral's name for it is "uncharacterized LOC122407538". Lineage: Eukaryota; Metazoa; Arthropoda; Insecta; Hymenoptera; Ichneumonidae. The record is from RNAcentral.